GACGGAGGGGGCUAGCGUUGUUCGGAAUGACUGGGCGUAAAGGGCGCGUAGGCGGCUUAUCAAGUCAGGUGUGAAAGCCUUGGGCUUAACCCAAGAACUGCGCUUGAUACUGAUAAGCUAGAGGAUGAUAGAGGAAAGCGGAAUUCCUAGUGUAGAGGUGAAAUUCGUAGAUAUUAGGAAGAACACCAGAGGCGAAGGCGGCUUUCUGGAUCAUAUCUGACGCUGAGGCGCGAAAGCGUGGGGAGCAAACAGG
This 253-nucleotide ribosomal RNA is filed under the name uncultured bacterium. RNAcentral describes it as "partial 16S ribosomal RNA". It matches the Rfam family "Bacterial small subunit ribosomal RNA", at positions 524 to 776 of the family's 1533-position model. The record is from RNAcentral.